This 472-nucleotide ribosomal RNA is filed under the name uncultured Desulfobulbus sp. RNAcentral describes it as "bacterial SSU rRNA". It matches the Rfam family "Bacterial small subunit ribosomal RNA", at positions 916 to 1381 of the family's 1533-position model. The record is from RNAcentral. Lineage: Bacteria; Pseudomonadati; Thermodesulfobacteriota; Desulfobulbia; Desulfobulbales; Desulfobulbaceae.
GACGGGGCCCGCACAGCGGUGGAGUAUGUAGUUUAAUUCGAUGCAACGCGAAGAACCUUACCUGGUCUUGACAUCCCGGAGACCCUUAGGAACUAGGGGUGCUUCCAUCUGGAAGAAUCUGGAGACAGGUGCUGCAUGGCUGUCGUCAGCUCGUGUCGUGAGAUGUUGGGUUAAGUCCCGCAACGAGCGCAACCCUUGCCUUUAGUUGCCAGCAGUUCGGCUGGGCACUCUAAAGGGACUGCCGGUGUUAAACCGGAGGAAGGUGGGGAUGACGUCAAGUCCUCAUGGCCUUUAUGACCAGGGCUACACACGUACUACAAUGGCCGAUACAAAGGGCAGCGACACUGCGAGGUGAAGCCAAUCCCGUAAAAUCGGUCUCAGUCCGGAUUGGAGUCUGCAACUCGACUCCAUGAAGUUGGAAUCGCUAGUAAUCGUGGAUCAGCAUGCCACGGUGAAUACGUUCCCGGGCCUU